UACGUAGGUGGCAAGCGUUGUCCGGAAUUAUUGGGCGUAAAGCGCGCGCAGGCGGCCUCUUAAGUCUGAUGUGAAAGCCCCCGGCUCAACCCGGGGAGGGCCAUUGGAAACUGGGAGGCUUGAGUAUAGGAGAGAAGAGUGGAAUUCCACGUGUAGCGGUGAAAUGCGUAGAGAUGUGGAGGAACACCAGUGGCGAAGGCGACUCUUUGGCCUAUAACUGACGCUGAGGCGCGAAAGCGUGGGGAGCAACAGG
Molecule: ribosomal RNA, 253 nt
Filed under: uncultured bacterium
Lineage: Bacteria
Description: partial 16S ribosomal RNA
Rfam family: Bacterial small subunit ribosomal RNA
Source: RNAcentral